Molecule: non-coding RNA, 244 nt
Organism: Cinara cedri
Lineage: Eukaryota; Metazoa; Arthropoda; Insecta; Hemiptera; Aphididae
Source: the annotation of a GenBank genome assembly
ACAAUAAAUAUUUACUGUCAUAAAUUACCGCGUCGCGUCUUUUUUCGUCGAGGAAACAGUAGGACUAUUAUGCCCGUCGUAAUUUCUUCAGCGUUCGUCUCCGAAUUUAAUGUCCAGGUUUAGUUUUUACACCGACACAACGACGCGUUCGUGCGAUUUCGAGAUUAAACAUAACGUUCAAAGUCGUUUCGAAUCGACCGUGAUAAAUACGAAUCGUCUAAACUGUACAUAAAAGAUACACGUA